Molecule: long non-coding RNA, 786 nt
Organism: Gossypium arboreum
Lineage: Eukaryota; Viridiplantae; Streptophyta; Magnoliopsida; Malvales; Malvaceae
Exons: 2
Source: RefSeq, a predicted model, not a curated record
AUGUUGAAAUUAAAUAGUGUUCAAAUUUGAUGCCAACAUCUUAAUCUCUCCAAUAUGCAUCCCUAUUUUAGAUAUGUCGGUUAUCUUUUUUUGAAUCUUCACAAUAUUCGUUUUUGUAUCCCCUUCCACAACAAUAUUUUGAAAACCCAUAUCAUUCGCAAAUUCUAAUGCUUGGAUGCAAGAUAUAGCUUUGGUAGAAAAGGCAUCUGCAACAUGAACAUUCUUUCGCACCCCACUUCCCAUUACCAGCCCUAGAUCGUUUCUGGCUACAAACCCUGAACACGGCUAAUGAAGAUCUGGUUUGAAAGCCGCAUCAAAGUUCACCUUGACUUUCAGACUUUGUGGAGGCAGCCCCUGAGAUUUCAUGGUCACCUUCUUUUUAGUUAAUUUCAGUUUAAUCUCAUCCAUUUCCCUUAUAAAGCUCUCACUUUUUGUACUAAUCUCCUGAAUUGUCUGUCUUUUUCCUUCCAUCACAUGUUGAUUACGGGCAUGCCAAAGUGCAAACAUAGUAAUCGCUAUCUUUCAACAGGGCCACAAUUCGUGAUAACGUCCACCGUUGUUUCUGGAGUAGACCCAUAUCUUGGGCAUAUUGAAGACAGAGCAAUCAUUCUAUUGUAAAGAAUAUAGGCAGUAGGGAUAAAGUCAUUUAAAAUGCGCUAGAUUGUAAUUUUAAUUUUAGAGGGUAUUUGUAUCUGCCAAAGCUUUCUAUAUUUUUCGUAGCUUCCCUGUAAAUCAUUUUUUGUAAUCUGUCGACUGAGGAGAACCCUGUAACCACUGCAGACAGAA